AUACGUAGGUGACAAGCGUUAUCCGGAUUUACUGGGCGUAAAGGGCGUGUAGGCGGUCUUGCAAGUCAGAAGUGAAAUUCCUGAGCUCAACUCGGGCGCUGCUUCUGAAACUGCAGGACUUGAGUGCUGGAGGGGCUAGCGGAAUUCCUAGUGGAGCGGUAAAAUGCGCAGAUAUUAGGAAGAACACCGGUGGCGAAGGCGGCUAGCUGGACUGUAACGGACGCUGGGGCGCGAAAGCGUGGGGAGCAAAAAGGAUUAGAUACCCUGGUGGGCCACGCCGUAAACGAUGAAUACUAGGUGUAGGGGGUAUCGACUCCCUCUGUGCCGCAGUUAACACAAUAAGUAUUCCGCCUGUGGAGUACGGCCGCAAGGUUGAAACUCAAAUGAAUUGACGGGG
Molecule: ribosomal RNA, 397 nt
Filed under: uncultured bacterium
Lineage: Bacteria
Description: partial 16S ribosomal RNA
Rfam family: Bacterial small subunit ribosomal RNA
Source: RNAcentral